Molecule: ribosomal RNA, 253 nt
Filed under: uncultured prokaryote
Description: partial 16S ribosomal RNA
Rfam family: Bacterial small subunit ribosomal RNA
Source: RNAcentral
ACGUAGGCAGCGAGCGUUGUUCGGAAUUACUGGGCGUAAAGAGUGUGUAGGCGGUGCUCUAAGUCUGGUGUGAAAUCUCCCGGCUCAACUGGGAGGGUGCGCCGGAAACUGGGUUGCUAGAAUGUGGGAGAGGCUAGCGGAAUUCCUGGUGUAGCGGUGAAAUGCGUAGAUAUCAGGAGGAACACCUGCGGUUUAGACGGCUGGCUGGACCACUACUGACGCUGAGGCACGAAAGCGUGGGGAGCAAACAGGA